RNAcentral lists this ribosomal RNA (3705 nucleotides) under Candidatus Uhrbacteria bacterium RIFCSPHIGHO2_01_FULL_47_10. Its description in RNAcentral is "bacterial LSU rRNA". It matches the Rfam family "Bacterial large subunit ribosomal RNA". Lineage: Bacteria; Candidatus Uhriibacteriota. The record is from RNAcentral.
CAUAUUAAUAAGAGUAUACGAAGGAUGGCUUGACAGAACAUGCCGACGAAGGACGUAGUAGCCUGCGAAAAGCUUCGGGGAGGUGGCAAACAACCUUUGAUCCGAAGAUAUCCGAAUGGGGCAACCCAAUGCGGUUCAUACCGCAUUACUUUGCAAUCAAUACAUAGUUGCAAGGAGGGCACCUGGUGAAGUGAAACAUCUCAGUAGCCAGAGGAAAAGAAAAAACAAUUUCGUUUAACGUUUUCAUGCGGCCAGUCGGGUUUACCCGACAGCACGUCGUAUGGAAACGCGAAACGAAUAGAUUCCCUUAGUAGUGGCGAGCGAAAAGGGAACAGCUCAAACCUCUCUCGUGAAGUGUUUGUAAGCAUGGAGUCGCAAGACUGUGUGUGAAUGGAUGCGAAAGAUUGAAGUCGUUGCGAGAGAUAGGUGUUGUAAGACGGUAGUGUCGUUUUCUUCAAAAAACGGAUAAUGAAAUCCAUGUAAUAUAUAGGGGAAGUGACUGGAACGUCACACCAUAGAAGGUGAAAGUCCUGUACGCGAAAUAUAUUACGUCAUUAUGAUUACUGUUCUUGAGUACUACGGGACUCGUGAAAUCCUGUAGGAAUCUGCCGGGACUAUCUGGCAAAGCUAAAUACAUGUUCUGAUCGAUAGUGUACAAGUACCGUGAGGGAAAGCUGAAAAGCACCCCGGAAGGGGAAUGAAAUAGUAUCUGAAAUCGUAUACUUACAAGGAGUCAGCGCCCCUCGAAGCCGCAAGGCGGAGAGUGGGUCAUGGCGUUCCUAUUGAAGAAUGAGCCAACGAGUGUGUUGUGCGUCGCUUGGUUAAGUCCUCCGGGACGAAGCCAUAGUGAAAGCGAGCGUUAAUCCGCGAAAUAUUGGUGGCGCGCACAUNNNNNNNNNNNNNNNNNNNNNNNNNNGGUAAUAGCUGGUUCUCUCCGAGAUAGCUUUUGGGCUAGCGUCGGUAAAUAAUGUGUUGGGGGUAGAGCACUGAAUCGAGUUUGCGCCUUCGGGUAGCGACUCUAAUCAAACUCCGAAUACCAACAUGUGUUCCCGGCAGUCAGACGAUGGGGGCUAAGCUCCAUACGUCGAAAGGGAAACAGCCCAGAUCUCAAGCUAAGGCCCCAAAAUCAUCAUUAAGUGUAAAAGGUGGUGGAAAGACUUAAACAACCAGGAGGUUGGCUUAGAAGCAGCCAUCCUUUAAAGAUAGCGUAAUAGCUCACUGGUCAAGUUUUUCUGCGCCGAAAAUGUACCGGGGCUAAAUGAUGUGCCGAAGCUGAGGGUUUAACAUUUUUAAAUGUUAAGCGGUAGGAGAGCAUUCGUAUUGCGCUGAAGCCAAAGGGGUGACCCAUGGUGGAGCGAUGCGAAGGGAGAAUGUUGGCAUGAGUAGCAAAAAGACGGGUGAGAACCCCGUCCGCCGUAAACUUAAGGGUUCCUGGGCAACGCAAAUCGUCCCAGGGUUAGUCGGGUGCUAAGGCGAGGCUGAAAGGCGUAGUCGAUGCAUAGCAGGUUAAUAUUCCUGCACUUUUUAUCACACUGAAGCGGGGACGCUUCGUGAAAUUUCCCGCGUCCUAUGGCUAUGACGUUGGGCGUAUUUAGGCGCGUGGCAGGCAAAUCCACCACGCUUGGUUUAAUCCAGAGCACGAAUAUGAUCGCAAGUUUUCUGGCAACAGGAAACAAGGGGAAAGAACACGGAGCCAAGAAAAGCCGCUAAGGCUAAUGUGAUAGAGACCCGUACCGUAAACCGACACAGGUGAGUGGGUGCGUAAUGCACUAAGGCGUACGAGAGAAACAUUGUUUAGGAACUCGGCAAAACAACGGCCGUAACUUCGGGAUAAGGCCUGGUUGCCCCUGUGAGGGGGCGACCCGCAGCGAAAGACUCCAAGCGACUGUUUACCAAAAACACAGGUCCCUGCAAAACUGCAAAGUGAAGUAUAGGGGCUGAUGCCUGGCCAGUGUCCGAACGUUAAGGAAGGGGGUUAGAUCCUUCGGGGUCAAAGCUUUCGACUGAAGCGCGGAUGAACGCCGGCGAUAACUAUAAUCGUCCUAAGGUGAAAUAAAAGCUGCCUUAGUGAGGUGAAUGACCUCUCAUUAUCGAACUGUGAUGCCUCACAGACGUAGAUAAAGAAAAAUUUGGCUAUAUGCUGGAACACCUCGUUCACUCUAUGGUAAAAUAUAACCAUAGUAUGAUAAAAAAACGAGACAAUCAGCAGGAAAGACUAGAAAUGGCGUGGUGGAUUUGCGGAUUUGUUGACGGAGAGGGUUGCUUCUCAGUCAGUUUGAUUCGAAACAAAACCACAAGCCUUGGAUGGCAGGUGUUUCCUGAGUUUGUUGUGACACAAGGUAUGAAAAGUCGAUCAAGUCUGGAACUCAUUCGUGAGUAUUUCGGAUGCGGUCAGAUUUAUCAGAACACUCGUCAUGAUAAUCACAGAGAACCAUUGCUAAAGUAUUGUGUAAGAUCGCAAGAAGAUCUUCGAGAGAAGAUUAUUCCGUUCUUCCAAAAAUACUCUUUGCAAACUUCAAAGAAAAAUGAUUUUGAACUCUUUGCUCAGCUCCUUCAAAUGAUGAAGGAAGGAACGCACAAGAAUCAUCAAGGUCAGAAAGAAAUUGCAAAGAUUAUCCAAUUGAUGAAUCGAAAAGUUCCAUCAAAAUUUCUGGAAUCCUCAGAGACUAUACGCCAGACUUCGAAACCUUCGAAGAAGAUAGAGUCCGACCUGCAUGGUGACAUGCAGAACGUGGCAGAAAUGACUACGUCGAUCAAUGGAUCGUAACAACAAAGAGCGAAAUUCCUUGACGGGUAAGUUCCGUCCUGCACGAAUGGCAUAACGACUUGGAGACUCUCUCAACAAUGUACUCGGCGAAAUUGCAAUGUGAGUGAAGAUGCUCACUUCCCGUGGUAAGACGAAAAGACCCCGUGAAGCUUUACUACAACUUGGUCUUGAUUUUAUGUUCCGCAUGUUCAGAAUAGGUGGGAGCCUUCGGGCACCAGUGAGAUACCACCCUUGCGUUGUGUAAAGUCUAACCACCUUCCGUGAAACCGGAGGGAGGGACAGGAUCUGGUGGGUAGUUUACCUGGGGCGGGUGCCUCCCAAAAUGUAACGGAGGCGUUUACAAAGGUUGGCUUGGCGCGGAUGGAAAUCGCGCUGGACGUGCAAACGCAGAAGCCAGCUUUACUGCAAGACUUACAAGUCGCGCAGUUGCGAAAGCAGAAGUUAGUGAUCCGACCGUACGAAAUAGGACGGCGGAAGCUCAUCGGAUAAAAGCUACUCCGGGGAUAACAGGCUAGUCACGCCCAAGCGUCCACAGCGACGGCGUGGUUCGGCACCUCGAUGUCGGCUCAUCGCAUCCUGGGGCUGUAGAAGGUCCCAAGGGUUUGGCUGUUCGCCAAUUAAAGCGGUACGCGAGCUGGGUUCAGAACGUCGUGAGACAGUUCGGUCUCCUAUCUACCAUGGGCGUCGAAGAUUGAUGGAAUCCAUCCUUAGUACGAGAGGACCGGGAUGGACGAACCUCUAGUGCACCAGUUGUCCUGCCAAGGGCAUCGCUGGGUAGCUACGUUCGGUUCGGAUAAACGCUGAAAGCAUCUAAGCGUGAAGCCGAUCCAAAGAUAAGUCUUCAUUUGAGACCCCUGCGAGACUAGCAGGUUGAUAGGCUGUAGGUGUAAGCAUCGUAAGAUGUUCAGCCGAGCAGUACUAAUAGGUCGAGCUCUACA